GUGAUCACAUCAGCAGCACAUAUACUAAAACUGGAAAAAUACGGAGAAGAUUAGCAUGGCCCCCGUGCAAGGAUGCCACACAAAUUCAUGAAAUGUUCCAUAUUUUU
Molecule: small nuclear RNA, 107 nt
Organism: Phacochoerus africanus (Common warthog)
Lineage: Eukaryota; Metazoa; Chordata; Mammalia; Artiodactyla; Suidae
Source: RefSeq, a predicted model, not a curated record